This 1212-nucleotide long non-coding RNA is filed under the name Sparus aurata (gilthead seabream). Its description in RNAcentral is "lncRNA (ENSSAUG00010021589.1)". The record is from RNAcentral. Lineage: Eukaryota; Metazoa; Chordata; Actinopteri; Spariformes; Sparidae.
AAACAAUAUUGGCAAUGAAUCAAAAAUAAAUGUUUCCUUUUCUUUCCAAUUCAUUAAUUAGGCAACUAAUUUGAAACUGGUGUGGGUGGCUCUAUAUAUACUAGCCCACUGCAGCCACAUGCAGAAAUCAACAUGGAAUCGAAAAGAAAACCAAACUGGCGAGAGGAGGAGACACUGUUGUUAGUAGAGCUAGUCGAGGAAAGGAAGCUCAUCAUUAAAGGCAAGUUCAGCCCGACGCUUACCAGCCAUGAUAAAAAACAGGCAUGGGAAGACAUAUCAAAUCAACUUAACGCCUCUCAAACCUUCAGCCAUCGGUCACCAGCUGACUGCGAGAAGAAGUGGUAUAACGUUCUCUCGAAAAGCAGAAGUGAAAUCGCAGCUUUCAAGGCCUGCUCCAUGCGCACUGGCGGAGGACCACCUGGCAAAGAUUUGAGCGCAGUUGCAGAAGUUGUGCAGCGCAUUCUUGGAGAGGAUAACCCCAGCAUCUCUGGGUUGGACGGCGGCCAGGAUCCAGCUGCGAUGAAGCUUGAGUUGCUUUCAAAAGGUUUGGAUCGAGAUGCAUUAGAGUCUCCUGUGUCCCACUCCCCUGCGCACUCUCCCUCUGCCUUUGACGCGGUGCAGCCAGGCCCAAGCACUUCGUGUGAGGCAACAGGCAACAAUCAAGUGGUGGGUGAAAAAGAAAAAGAAGAAAUCAACUUAAGUUUAUCACAUCUUGAGCAUGCCGUCUCUUUUGUUUUUCAGGCCGAGGUGAGUGAUUGCGACUCAGCAGAGGAGACGGAUGAUCUGCAGGCACUGCGGAGACAAAAAAUUAAGCUGCAAAUUAAAGUGCUGCGGCUCCAAGAGGAGUACUACAGCUUGGCUUUAAAAAAAAGAAAAAAUACCGAGUGACUAAUAAAAUGAAUUGAUAAAAAGCCGCUGUAUUGAUGAUUUAUUGUUCUUACCCAAAGUGGAGGUUGGCGAAGUGUUGUCUGAAGGCUGCCCCAUCACAUGGAUGGAUGUUGCCAGGGACGCUCGCGUCUCCAUCUCCUCCCUCAUCGUCAUCAUCGUCUGCUGGUGGAAGUGGGACAUUGCGCUCCUUACAAAUGUUGUGCAGUAUUGCACAUGCCAUAAUGAUACGGCACACUCUGUCUGGAGUGUGCCGUAUCUCUACUUGCGUGUUGAUGCUGUGGUACCUCUUCCUAUUAACAAACACACUCUCGUCCACACUUGGAG